This 219-nucleotide unclassified non-coding RNA is filed under the name uncultured Thelephora. RNAcentral describes it as "partial internal transcribed spacer 2". Lineage: Eukaryota; Fungi; Basidiomycota; Agaricomycetes; Thelephorales; Thelephoraceae. The record is from RNAcentral.
ACACCUCAACUCUCACGGUUCGCCCGUGAUGAGCUUGGACUUCUGGAGGUUUUGCUGGCUUGCGGUCGGCUCCUCUCAAAUGGAUCAGCUUACCAGUGUUUGGUGGCAUCAUGGGUGUGAUAACUAUCUACGCUUGUGGUCGUCUGCCAGGUAACCUUCAGCGAUGGGGGUUUGCUGGGGCUUACAAAUGUCUCUCCUCAGCGAAGACAGCUUUUGAAC